UACGUAGGGGCCGAGCGUUGUCCGGAGUUACUGGGCGUAAAGCGCGCGCAGGCGGCUCGCUUUGCCCGGCGUGAAAGCCCCCGGCUCAACCGGGGAGGGUCGUCGGGAACGGGCGGGCUUGAGGCCGGCAGGGGCAGGUGGAAUUCCCGGUGUAGUGGUGAAAUGCGUAGAGAUCGGGAGGAACACCCGUGGCGAAGGCGGCCUGCUGGGCCGGACCUGACGCUGAGGCGCGAAGGCGUGGGGAGCGAACGGG
Molecule: ribosomal RNA, 253 nt
Filed under: uncultured bacterium
Lineage: Bacteria
Description: partial 16S ribosomal RNA
Rfam family: Bacterial small subunit ribosomal RNA
Source: RNAcentral